RNAcentral lists this long non-coding RNA (379 nucleotides) under Ananas comosus (pineapple). Its description in RNAcentral is "long non-coding RNA (ACOM_LNC028011)". The record is from RNAcentral. Lineage: Eukaryota; Viridiplantae; Streptophyta; Magnoliopsida; Poales; Bromeliaceae.
CCAAACCCAAGCCUCAGUCGAGCGAUCUGUUUACGGCGUACCGGUACCCGCCCGAUGCCUUAGCAGUACCCGACUCCAGUACCGGUACUCGGUAACUCAGUACCGGUACCCAGCACCUCUCAACCCAAACCCGAGAGCAGCUUCUCUCGGUUACGCAACAGUUCCGGUACCUCACCCAGGUACCGGUACCUCACCCAGGUACCGGUACUCGGCACCCCAAAUCCUGAAUUUACAGAUUUUGGUGUUAAGUACUCCUCGCGUUCUCGAAUACGAGUAACAGGUUGGUACUCAGUCAACGACCUUCAAAAACACCAGAAAUAGCUCAAAAUACUAUUCUAACACUAGAACCUCGCAAUUUGCUAAAGUUCAGUGUGCUACA